GGUCAUGGCUCAGUGGUAGAGUGCUUGCCUAGCAUGCAUGAGGCACUGGGUUUGAUCCUCAGCACCA
Molecule: transfer RNA, 67 nt
Filed under: Marmota monax (woodchuck)
Lineage: Eukaryota; Metazoa; Chordata; Mammalia; Rodentia; Sciuridae
Description: tRNA.Ala
Rfam family: tRNA
About the family: Transfer RNA (tRNA) molecules are approximately 80 nucleotides in length. Their secondary structure includes four short double-helical elements and three loops (D, anti-codon, and T loops). Further hydrogen bonds mediate the characteristic L-shaped molecular structure. tRNAs have two regions of fundamental functional importance: the anti-codon, which is responsible for specific mRNA codon recognition, and the 3' end, to which the tRNAs corresponding amino acid is attached (by aminoacyl-tRNA synthetases). tRNAs cope with the degeneracy of the genetic code in two manners: having more than one tRNA (with a specific anti-codon) for a particular amino acid; and 'wobble' base-pairing, i.e. permitting non-standard base-pairing at the 3rd anti-codon position.
Source: RNAcentral